This 292-nucleotide ribosomal RNA is filed under the name uncultured Planctomycetota bacterium. RNAcentral describes it as "uncultured planctomycete partial 16S ribosomal RNA". Lineage: Bacteria; Pseudomonadati; Planctomycetota. The record is from RNAcentral.
GGACUACUGGGGUAUCUAAUCCCGUUCGCUCCCCUAGCUUUCGUGCCUCAGCGUCAGAAAAGACCCAGUAAGCCGCUUUCGCUCCUGGUGUUCCUUAGGAUAUCAACGCAUUUCACCGCUCCACCCUAAGUUCCGCUUACCUCUAUCUUCCUCAAGCCCGGUAGUUUUGAGCGCUAUUCCUCGGUUGAGCCGAGGGCUUUCACACCCAACUUUCCGGGCCGCCUACGCACCCUUUAAGCCCAGUGAUUCCGAAUAACGUUUGGACGGUUCGUCUUACCGCGGCUGCUGGCAC